CCCUACGGGGCGCAGCAGGCGCGAAAACUCUACAAUGCAGGCAACUGCGAUAGGGGGACAUCGAGUGGCACCCACCUUGGGUGUCUGUCCAACCGUCUAAAAAACGGUUGUUAGCAAGGGCCGGGUAAGACCGGUGCCAGCCGCCGCGGUAAUACCGGCGGCUCGAGUGGUGGCCGAUAUUAUUGAGUCUAAAGGGUCCGUAGCCGGCUUUGCAAGUCCUCUGGGAAAUCCAGCGGCUUAACCGUUGGGCUUCCAUGGGAAACUA
This 265-nucleotide ribosomal RNA is filed under the name uncultured archaeon. RNAcentral describes it as "partial 16S ribosomal RNA". It matches the Rfam family "Archaeal small subunit ribosomal RNA", at positions 321 to 586 of the family's 1478-position model. The record is from RNAcentral.